ACUCAAAUGAAUAGACGGGGAAACGCACAACCAGCGUCCCAUGUGGUUUAAUUCGAUACGGAACGAAGCACCUUACCUGGGUUUGACAUUCUAGAGUUCUAUCUUCGGGAAACCGAAGAAAUCCGCAAGGAGGCUAGAACAGCUGCUGCAUGGUUGUCGUCAGUUCGUGUCGUGAGGCGUCCGCUUAAGUGCGGUAACGAACGCAACCCCUGUCCUGUGUUAAAUAUUCACAGGAGACUGCCUUGGUUUUACCAAGGAGGAAGGAGGGGACGACGUCAAAUCAGCAUGGCGCUUACAUCCAGGGCUACACGCAUGGGGUAAUGGCAAGUACAACGGGUCGCGAAAGAGUAAUCUGGAGCUAAUCCUAAUAAAGCUUGCCUCAGUUCGGAUUGUGGGCUGCAACUCGCCCACAUGAAGGGGAGUUGGUAGUAAUCGCGGGUCAGCUAUACCGCGGUGAAUACGUUCUCGUUUCUUGUACACACCGCCCGU
Molecule: ribosomal RNA, 489 nt
Filed under: uncultured bacterium
Lineage: Bacteria
Description: partial 16S ribosomal RNA
Rfam family: Bacterial small subunit ribosomal RNA
Source: RNAcentral